RNAcentral lists this non-coding RNA (20 nucleotides) under Arabidopsis thaliana (thale cress). The record is from RNAcentral. Lineage: Eukaryota; Viridiplantae; Streptophyta; Magnoliopsida; Brassicales; Brassicaceae.
AUAAAUUGUCAUGCGGUGUA